Eleginops maclovinus (Patagonian blennie) is the source of this 3527-nucleotide long non-coding RNA. RefSeq lists it as uncharacterized. The record is from RefSeq and is a predicted model, not a curated record. NCBI's taxonomy places the organism in Eukaryota, Metazoa, Chordata, Actinopteri, Perciformes, Eleginopidae. The transcript has 8 exons.
CAAGAGAAAAGAAGGGUAAGGUGAGUCGUGCGGCGGACAGAGCAGGAGAGCUGACUGCUGCUAUUCUCCUCUCGGAGCGGAGAUCUGACCGGGGAAUGUCCGGGGAGAACGUCUCCUUUGCGUCUGUGUGCUGCAGACCUCCGUCAUUCAGAUCGUCCAUGUGUGCGUGAGAUAGUAACGAUCAAACCACGCACAGGUGAAGAAGAGUAUGUCAACAGACAACAAAUGUUCAUCUUCCUGCUGACUACUGCGCCUUAAACAAAGCGUCUUUUCCCGAAACUUUUCUGGAGCUCAAGGACUGACGUCAGACAGCAGGAGACGUUAAGGAUAAAAAAAAAACCUGUUGAAUGAGGUUCAGCAACCAUUUCCAGCUCUAUAGGGGCUCCCACUCUCCCUUCCGUCCGGGAGUCAUAUGACUGCACCUUGAGAUCCGAGUUUGGCCCACAUUCCAAGUGAAGUCCAGUGUCAAAGUUCACUUUACCGAGCGAGUCUCACCCCAUCUAGUGGUUUCAUUUAACAGAGGCAAGCACCAAAAGUAGAAUAACAUCAUUAAUCAUCAUUAUCAAUUUAAGAGAAUAGCAGAAAUAUAUAUGAUUAUUUUACUAUUUCAUUAUUGUUUUUAUUUUACAUUAUUUUAUAAAAUGGCUUUGGGUACAUGCAUAUGGCAGACAUUUUGGCAAGAACACAAGUUUAUUUUUUUGAAUUUUCGAAGUUCAACCUCAGCUCCAACAAUAAAUAGCCUAUAUAAUUAGCCACCAUUAAACCACACUGUUUGUUCCUUAAACCUACAGCUUAAAGCAAGCAUUCGGUGGUAUGUGGUUUCAAAUGUGUAGUUUGGUCUAUUUUCCACCAGGUUGAGCCACUUCUUUGCACUCUCAUUUGCUUGUCAGUUGUUGAUGUUAUUAUUUAGUGCACAAAUGGACUCAUGGACUUCUUAAUCAGAGUUGACGGUAUAAUCUGUCAUAAUGUGUUGUACAGAAAACAAUGUUGAGGCAAAUGAUUGUGUCAUGAGUGAUUCUGGGCUUAAAUUGAUUUGACUGAUUAAAUGGCCUUUGGCGACCUUUUGCCUUUUGCAACUAUGAUAUCCCAUAAUUCGUAAUCUCGACAGAUUCAAAAGCAGUUUACUAUUCUUGACCACAAAAGACACACAUGGGCAACACCAGUAAAAGCUUAAAAUAUAUGUUCUUAAUCAUGACAUUUUAUACAUGGAAAGUUUUAAUGACCACUGUAAUUACCCUGUGUGUUAUUAUUACCUGUGUUUUUAGUGCUUCAUUUUUUAAAUGUAUGUGUAGUAGAAGUUUAACAGUAAUCAGAAGUGAGUGCUGAUUUGAGGCUUAGAUUGCUUGAUUAUAUUUAAUAAGGUAUUGAAAGUCAUAACUUGGUCAGCGUCCACUUUUCAGCCCCAACUUCCUUUUUUCUUCAACUCACACUGAAACAGGAAACACCCCCCCAAUUUCACACUAAUAUUUAGAUGUAAGGUGUUUUUCAAAAGCACAAAAAGCCCUACAAUCUUCUGAGUACUUCUUGCAGUGAGUAUUUACUUGAUACAAAACACAGGCAGUUUAACUUCACAGCUUUGUAGCAUGUAGGCUUCCAGAUGAGAUAGAACUCAGGUCACUGUUAAGUGUCAGAAUUAGGUUAGAGCGUCUUUCUUCGGUCUGAUGAAGCUGCUGGGCCUGAUUCCACUUAGCCUCAUACUGAUGCUGGCCUCAGAAGGUCACACAGCUCAAACAUGGAAUGCUUCUGUCACCAGAAACAUUAAAGCAACAUUUGGCUCAAAUGUGAUCAUAAAGUGUAGCUUUACCGUUCCAAAAGAAUACUCUACUGGAAAUGUUCAAGUUUACUGGAAAAAGUUUGAGAGAAGUAACUUUAAGAGGGACAAAGACCCAGAUGCAUAUGUUUUUCACCCGAAUGAAACAUAUGUGAAUAAGGAGUACAAAGGAAAGACCAUGCUCCUUGGAAAUAAAACCGAGGGAAACUGCUCCCUCAUGAUCUUUAACUUCACGGAUGGAACACUUCACAUCUAUUUGAGAGUUACUGAAAAGAAGGAGAUGUUCAGUUUCAGAGGUAACUCUGUCCAAAUAACUGAGUCUGAUAUUACACAACCACUACCAACCGAGAUUUCAAAACAAUAUUCCACAAUGACUACAGUCCAUGAGACUUCUACAACAAUGUAUACAGCCAUCUUUGUACCGGUUGCUGCACUUCUGAUCAUUAUUUUUGUGGCUGGAAUUGUCUUUUACUUAAAACGCACAAGCAGGUCACAACCUUUGACAAGGGAAGAGUCUGGAUAUUAUGCCAAUUGUAGCCGAGUAUCGUCAAACCAAGGCAAAAGAAAAGCAUCUAGCAAGAACCAAGAAAAAGAGAACACUUCUGAACUGAAGGCCAUUGAUGAACCUGUCUACAUCAACAUCGAGGCCCCUCCAGAUCAGAUGGGUCAACAAAUGAAUCACACCGAAAAUAUUUAUGGUAAUGUGGAUUAUUCAUAAUAGAAGAUAAACUGCAUCUCACAUGUUCAUGGUCUGUAUUUAUUUAAAGAACGUUGUGGCUGUUGGAAACAACUUAAAUCAUUCCGAAAACCAGGAUUAUAGAGAUUGUGGACAUACUGGUUAAAAUCUGAUGGCCUAAGGUUUCAACAAUAAAUAAAUUUAUCAUGAAGAGAAUAACAAAUACAACAAAAUCAACUACAAAGAAUUACAAAUCUACAGAGCGACCUGUCUUGGUGCUAUAGGUGCUUGGCUUCUGUGUCCUGGGGUAUAUUUUCCAGGGUUUAUGGUUCGUUUGGGUUUCAUACAACAGCAGCCAUUUAUUUAUUCCAUUUCAUUUUACAAUCCUUAAAAUUGUUUAUUUGGCUUUUUUUUAUUACACUGUAUAUGUAACCAUUGACAAUCUACCUUUUAUAAUUGCUCAGAGCCAUAGUUUUAAUUCAAGUUUAUUUUAGUUGUUAAACUCGUUAUUAAUUCUGUAAUUUACACAUUACAGACUUGUCCAGUGCAGCCUGCAAAUCUUUUGCUAACCUUAACAUUUGGUAUUUGAUAUACCUUAACCAUAGCUUAUUUGCCAUAAACAUGAUCCUUUGUUUGUUUUAACAGGGUUACCAGAUAGUCUAUAUUUUUUGAAGUUUAGCAUCAUUACAAUUGAACAUUAGAAACAAAAAAUGCUAGUGAGUGAUAAAGGAAAUGAAACGAAUAAUUUAGCACAUGUUGAGAAACAUCCCGUGACCGAAGUUCUGUUUUCUGAGCAAUCUGUUCAUGUAAUAUUCUGCUUAACUUUAGAUUGUACAGUUUUCAAAAAUGUGGGUUUAAUGAAACCAUUGUGCGGUUUUUCAGUCUUUCUCAAUGUGUUUGGCAACUCACGUCCUGUAUCCUCUCUGCUGCAAUUGAAACUUCUGUUUUCUUUCAUAAGGGUGAUUAAGUUAUUAUACGUAAUGCCAGAGUUAAGUUUUCCUCUAUUUAAUUACUGAACAACAGCAGCCAACUACCCUGCAUAAAACCCUGUCGUAAAUAAAGUGGAUUUAAGACAAGCUA